UACAAUACCACCGUGUUGAUUGUCAAAGUUUCAAACCAUUUCAAGGCUCCUAAAGGUAUCUCCUCUUCCUCCUAAGCAUUUUAGAUGAGUUUUGGCUAAGUUUGAACAUAAGGAAACCAUGGAAAUCGAACCUCUGAGGGUGGCACUAUUCACCAACUUUUAAACUCAUGAAUUUCUUCGAUUUUCAAGACCGUAGCAAGCUCAAGACCUUCCCUCGAUGCUCGGGGUGCAUCGUUUGUGAAAAUUGGACGUCAGAAAGCCCAGGUUCGAGU
This 272-nucleotide long non-coding RNA is filed under the name Malus domestica (apple). RNAcentral describes it as "long non-coding RNA (MDOM_LNC004539)". The record is from RNAcentral. Lineage: Eukaryota; Viridiplantae; Streptophyta; Magnoliopsida; Rosales; Rosaceae.